GUGAAGAUAAGCUAUCAAUUUACAUUACCAGGGUGAAAUUCAACAGAAAUGCUUUUGGAUAAAGAUGUUCAGGCCCACAGGGAAUUUCCUUGUUGACAAAUUGUGAAGGAGGAAGUUGAGUGAGGCCUGAGACAGCAAUGUUUCGUUUAGCCUGGCGGUGGCCCUCCUUGUCUUCAAGAAGAGCAUCCGUGGCUAGCAGUGGAAGAUGGGGUUGGGCCCCAGGUGAGUGACCCUUUGUCGAGUUUGCAGAAUUUGGUCUUGGCGGGUUGAGGAUCUCUUGUAUUUUGUGCGCUCUGUUCCUGCUCCAGGACUGACCAGGCAGUUCUGCCACCUUCUAGGAGUGUGAAAUUGGGAAGUAAUUCAAAAUGUAUGUGCCUAGCAUUCCUUUUAUGUAACAUGAGGGGAAUAGAAGUACCAAACCGAUGCAGUUCAGUGGAGAAUUAAAUGAGAUAGUCACAAGUAAAAGGUGGUAAGUGUGGUUCAUUUUAUUAAUUUUCUUUUAAUUUCCCGAGAAGCCCCAGUUACCUGAAAGCUUCUGUGAGCCUGGGAAGGGAUCAGAGUUCCACCUGCAGUGCUAUUUUGCCCCUUCUUUCUGAUCCUUACAGGAAGCAGGACGAUUCCUGGAUUCCCUUUUUAAAAAAAUGGUCACAGGAAUGAGGAAAGAAUGACUCUGGCUCCUAGCAGCAGAAUCUUAACUGAGUAUGACUUAGCAUCCUUCUUCUUGCUGUGUCAUCUCUCUUCUCAGGGCAGAAGAUAUUUACUAAUUAGCACAUUCUGCUAGCACAUCUGUGGGAAAAGAGACGCGAUCUUACUGCAUUGACCAG
Molecule: long non-coding RNA, 824 nt
Filed under: Homo sapiens (human)
Lineage: Eukaryota; Metazoa; Chordata; Mammalia; Primates; Hominidae
Description: HSALNT0305908
Source: RNAcentral